UGCCAGCAGCCGCGGUAAUACAGAGGGUGCAAGCGUUAAUCGGAAUUACUGGGCGUCAAGCGCACGCAGGCGGUUGGUUAAGUCAGAUGUGAAAGCCCCGGGCUCAACCUGGGAAUUGCAUUUGAAACUGGCCAACUAGAGUAUGUGAGAGGGGGGUAGAAUUCCAAGUGUAGCGGUGAAAUGCGUAGAGAUUUGGAGGAAUACCAGUGGCGAAGGCGGCCCCCUGGCACAAUACUGACGCUCAGGUGCGAAAGCGUGGGGAGCAAACAGGAUUAGAUACCCUGGUAGUCCACGCCGUAAACGAUGUCUACUAGCUGUUCGUGGUCUUGUACUGUGAGUAGCGCAGCUAACGCACUAAGUAGACCGCCUGGGGAGUACGGUCGCAAGAUUAAAACUCAAAUGAAUUGACGG
RNAcentral lists this ribosomal RNA (411 nucleotides) under uncultured Rheinheimera sp. Its description in RNAcentral is "bacterial SSU rRNA". It matches the Rfam family "Bacterial small subunit ribosomal RNA", at positions 506 to 916 of the family's 1533-position model. The record is from RNAcentral. Lineage: Bacteria; Pseudomonadati; Pseudomonadota; Gammaproteobacteria; Chromatiales; Chromatiaceae.